AAAAAGAAUUCACAGGGAUGUUUUCAGUAAAGAUUCUUUCUGUGCUCUGAUAGGUGGGCAGCAAACUGACCACAUACAGCAUUCCAGACUGCAAAUCAGAAUGGAAUACAUACAGUUGAUGCUAAGUGUGUGCCUGCAUUGUUCUCCACUUUACAUAUUGAAGCAAGGCCCACUGCUUGCUCUUUUAGCUAAUCUAGCUGGCCAGCUUGUUUGGGUAAUUUCCUGUCUUUUCUGUCCUGGGUGACUCUCAUGAGCCCCUGUGGCUGGGGAUGGAACUCUGAUCGAACGAUUGCUCAGAAUGCCUGAGGCCCUAGGUUCUAUGCACAACAGUGAAAAAAUAAGACCUGGAAAUAGCCCUGUCCUCCAUCCCUUGUCUCCUAAACCCUCUAGUUUAGCAUCUUCAGUCUUCUCACUGUGUCCCCCCAGACAGUCCUAACAGUGAGCCCCCCCCAGGAGAUCCAGGAAGACCUUUUAAGUUUCUGUGACAGUACCUAUAGUAAUACAAGCAUGUGCCAGCAAUGAUGUCACCAACCAGGUAUUCUUGCUAAAAUCCUGUAAGCAGGAUGAUGGUGAAAGAGUACAGAAGUUGCAUAGAUUGAAAUAUGCGCUUCUGUCAUGGGAAAAGGCAGUAUGUUCUAAAUCAAAGACCAGAGAGAUGGUAACUUUGGGAAACAUGGAGCUGGGAAGCACUAGGAAGAAGACAUUUGGGGUAACUAAGCUGUAUGUAUGGGAUAAGACAAAGUUAAAUUUCUUAAGUACAGCAGUUAAGAAUAUCUAUACUGCCUGCAAAUAAAUACUUAGGAGUGAAGCACAUCAGAAGCUGACUUUAAAAUUAUUCUGGGCAAAAAAAAUCAAAAUGCUAAUUGCUGACAAGUUAGGGUCUAGUUAGGGUGAGUCUUUGAGUUCACAGCACCAUUCUUUCAAUUGUCAAAUUUGUGAAAAGAUGGGAGAAAGCUUCAGUGUACAUUUGAAAAGGACUAUACUAAGGACUUAGAGUUGGAUGUCCGCCUAAGUGUGCAUCAUCACACCUAUGAUCUCAAGCACUGUGAGUCUGAGGCUUGUCUAAAACAAAAACUCUCAAAAGCUAACAGCGAACACUGGGUGGGGUUGGUUGAACAGAAACAAAUCUGUAGAGUAGGAAAAGUUGCUAUUUUAAGCAAAAAUAAAAUGCAUGCUUAUAAUCCCAGUGUUUCGGAGAUUGGGGUGAGGGGAUUGGAAAUUCAAUUGGCUACUACUUACUAAGUUCAAGGCCAGCCUGGGGGCUACAAUGCAGUUGUCUCAAAAACUGAAGUGAAGAUAAGCAGCAUGACCCUACUUCUAUAAAACAUACCAAAGUGAAAAAAAGAGGUACCAAAGUGUGAAUAAGUAAUGAUCACUACCAAGACACAACAGAGAGAUGUAUGGUUAACAAGUACAUUUUUAAAUGUUAGUAACUCAGGAAUGAAAGCAGCAUUGUAAUGGGAAUUCAUUCCCUUUACAACUGACAUGCUCCAGCCAAGGCUGAGGAGUAAGUGCUACAGCAGCCGCACAGGAAAGGUAGGACACAAAACAUAGCAGGAGCAGGAGUAACUGCAAAUUCAAGUGGAUGCCCCAUGUAGCACACACCUCAGCUACCUAAGAAGUUCAAAGUCAACUAGGGCCAUGAGACCCUGUCUCAAAAAUAGAAUAUAGAAUGAAAAUAAAUGGGCAAUUAGCCUGUGACUCAGGAAACCUGUAGUGCACAGCCUACAUGGUCACCUGCACUUAAACAGGUGGCGGCAAGCAGUUAAGAGGUGGCUAUGGUCCGUCUAUCAAAGGACCUUACAGUCUAAGUCUGUUGGCCACUGGGAUUUUCUGCAGGACAGAACCAUAUGGACACCCAGGAUAGAGUAAAGAGGAUGAACCUGAUUGAUGGUUACAAAAAGAAAAAAGGAAAACAGGUUUGGAGAUUGGAAUAAAGUAAUGGAUGAAGGUUCUCUGAGUAACUUA
This is a long non-coding RNA of Rattus rattus (black rat), 1968 nucleotides long. RefSeq lists it as uncharacterized. The record is from RefSeq and is a predicted model, not a curated record. The transcript is spliced from 2 exons. Lineage: Eukaryota; Metazoa; Chordata; Mammalia; Rodentia; Muridae.